Molecule: ribosomal RNA, 796 nt
Filed under: uncultured Methanosarcina sp.
Lineage: Archaea; Methanobacteriati; Methanobacteriota; Methanomicrobia; Methanosarcinales; Methanosarcinaceae
Description: SSU rRNA
Rfam family: Archaeal small subunit ribosomal RNA
Source: RNAcentral
ACUGCUCAGUAACACGUGGAUAACCUGCCCUUGGGUCCGGCAUAACCCCGGGAAACUGGGGAUAAUUCCGGAUAACGCAUAUAUGCUGGAAUGCUUUCUGCGUAAAAUGGAUUCGUCUGCCCAAGGAUGGGUCUGCGGCCUAUCAGGUAGUAGUGGGUGUAAUGUACCUACUAGCCUACGACGGGUACGGGUUGUGAGAGCAAGAGCCCGGAGAUGGAUUCUGAGACAUGAAUCCAGGCCCUACGGGGCGCAGCAGGCGCGAAAACUUUACAAUGCGGGAAACCGUGAUAAGGGGUCACCGAGUGCCAGCAUCAUAUGCUGGCUGUCCGGGUGUGUGAAAUACACCUGUUAGCAAGGGCCGGGCAAGACCGGUGCCAGCCGCCGCGGUAACACCGGCGGCCCGAGUGGUGAUCGUGAUUAUUGGGUCUAAAGGGUCCGUAGCCGGUUUGGUCAGUCCUCCGGGAAAUCUGAUAGCUCAACUAUUAGGCUUUCGGAGGAUACUGCCAGACUUGGAACCGGGAGAGGUAAGAGGUACUACAGGGGUAGGAGUGAAAUCUUGUAAUCCCUGUGGGACCACCUGUGGCGAAGGCGUCUUACCAGAACGGGUUCGACGGUGAGGGACGAAAGCUGGGGGCACGAACCGGAUUAGAUACCCGGGUAGUCCCAGCCGUAAACGAUGCUCGCUAGGUGUCAGGCAUGGCGCGACCGUGUCUGGUGCCGCAGGGAAGCCGUGAAGCGAGCCACCUGGGAAGUACGGCCGCAAGGCUGAAACUUAAAGGAAUUGGCGGGGGAGCAC